UUUAUCCAAUCAUUUCUUCUAUAAAGUAACUCCUGCGACCCCAAGUGACCCUUUUACAUUUCCCUUCCACUGUGAACUCCAAUUCUCUAUCAAUUCUCCUUCAAUUUUCUUCCUUCCUCCUCCCUCUUCCCUGCGAGUGCAGCAAGACAGCAAGAACAGCAACAGCAGCUGCAACAGUUUAGAAUCUUGGGCUGUUUUGAGGCUUCCAAUUGCUGCUGAGGUGUUGAUUCGUGAUUGUAGUAGAAAACGAAGAGAUUGUGGAGCAAUCCUAGCAUCUCGUUUCCAGGUGACAUAAGCGGUGAGGGUCAGAAUGAUGCGUGAGGUGCAGUGUAGCUAGUGAGCUCUGGUGGUCACGUGCAUAUCCAUUGAUUGAUUCUAAUUAUCUCUUUCUGUACCCAUUUAUGGUAAUUCGUUAAAUAAGUUCUAUAUUGAAAUUGUUCAGUUAAGUUUAUUUUUCUUUGGAUUAA
Molecule: long non-coding RNA, 467 nt
Organism: Ananas comosus (pineapple)
Lineage: Eukaryota; Viridiplantae; Streptophyta; Magnoliopsida; Poales; Bromeliaceae
Exons: 2
Source: RefSeq, a predicted model, not a curated record